This 73-nucleotide transfer RNA is filed under the name Ailuropoda melanoleuca (giant panda). It matches the Rfam family "tRNA". Rfam says of the family: Transfer RNA (tRNA) molecules are approximately 80 nucleotides in length. Their secondary structure includes four short double-helical elements and three loops (D, anti-codon, and T loops). Further hydrogen bonds mediate the characteristic L-shaped molecular structure. tRNAs have two regions of fundamental functional importance: the anti-codon, which is responsible for specific mRNA codon recognition, and the 3' end, to which the tRNAs corresponding amino acid is attached (by aminoacyl-tRNA synthetases). tRNAs cope with the degeneracy of the genetic code in two manners: having more than one tRNA (with a specific anti-codon) for a particular amino acid; and 'wobble' base-pairing, i.e. permitting non-standard base-pairing at the 3rd anti-codon position. The record is from Rfam by way of RNAcentral. Lineage: Eukaryota; Metazoa; Chordata; Mammalia; Carnivora; Ursidae.
ACCAGGCUUGCUCAAUCAGUAGAGCGUCUGACUCUUGAUCUCAGGGUCGUGAGUUCAAGCCCCAUGUUGGGUG